Molecule: ribosomal RNA, 1447 nt
Filed under: uncultured prokaryote
Description: partial 16S ribosomal RNA
Rfam family: Bacterial small subunit ribosomal RNA
Source: RNAcentral
CUCAGAACGAACGCUGGCGGCGUGCUUACACAUGCAAGUCGAACGGGAAACGUUCCUUCGGGAACCGAGUACAGUGGCGCACGGGUGAGUAACACGUAGGUGACCUACCUAUCGCUGGGGAACAACCCGGGAAACCGGAGCUAAUUCCGCAUACGCUUUCCAACUCGCGGGUUGGAAAGGAAAGAUGGCCUCUUCAUGAAAGCUAUCGGCGAAUGAUGGGCCUGCGCGUCAUUAGCUUGUUGGUGAGGUAACGGCUCACCAAGGCUGCGAUGACUAGCUGGUCUGAGAGGAUGAUCAGCCACACUGGCACUGGAACACGGCCCAGACUCCUACGGGUGGCAGCAGUCGAGAAGCUUCGGCAAUGGGCGAAAGCCUGACCGAGCGACGCCGCGUGAGCGAUGAAGGCCUUCGGGUCGUAAAGCUCUGUCGAGAGGGACGAAACACCGGUGGGACUAAUACUUGUGGUGUCUGAAGGUACCUCCAAAGGAAGCACCGGCUAACUCCGUGCCAGCAGCCGCGGUAAUACGGAGGGUGCAAACGUUGUUCGGAUUUACUGGGUGUAAAGGGUGCGUAGGCGGCCUGAUAAGUCAGGGGUGAAAUAUGACGGCUCAACCGUCAAACUGCCCCUGAAACUGCAAGGCUUGAGUCCGGGAGAGGAAGGUGGAAUUCCUGGUGUAGCGGUGAAAUGCGUAAAUAUCAGGAGGAACACCGAUGGCGAAGGCAGCCUUCUGGCCCGGUACUGACGCUCAUGCACGAAAGCUAGGGGAGCGAACAGGAUUAGAUACCCUGGUAGUCCUAGCCGUAAACGAUGGGCACUAGGUGUUGGAGGAGUCUACCCCUUCAGUGCCGCAGCUAACGCAUUAAGUGCCCCACCUGGGGAGUACGAUCGCAAGGUUGAAACUCAAAGGAAUUGACGGGGGCCCGCACAAGCGGUGGAGCAUGUGGUUUAAUUCGAUGCAACGCGAAGAACCUUACCUGGGCUUGACAUGCAGGGGACAGGUGCAGAAAUGUACCCUUCUUCGGACCCCUGUGCAGGUGCUGCAUGGCUGUCGUCAGCUCGUGUCGUGAAAUGUUGGGUUAAGUCCCGCAACGAGCGCAACCCUUGUCUUUAGUUGCCAUCAGUUCGGCUGGGGACUCUGGAGAGACUGCCGGUGACAAACCGGAGGAAGGUGGGGACGACGUCAAGUCAUCAUGGCCCUUACGCUCAGGGCUACACACGUGCUACAAUGGUCGGUACAAUGGGCAGCGAGACCGCGAGGUGGAGCGAAUCCCAAAAAGCCGGCCUCAGUUCGGAUCGUAGUCUGCAACUCGACUACGUGAAGUUGGAAUCGCUAGUAAUCGCGUAUCAGAACGACGCGGGAAUACGUUCCCGGGCCUUGUACACACCGCCCGUCAAGUCAACCGAAUUGGUUGCACCCCAAGUCGCUGAGCUAACCCGUAAGGGAGG